This 443-nucleotide ribosomal RNA is filed under the name uncultured bacterium. RNAcentral's name for it is "partial 16S ribosomal RNA". It matches the Rfam family "Bacterial small subunit ribosomal RNA", at positions 338 to 795 of the family's 1533-position model. The record is from RNAcentral.
CCUACGGGUGGCAGCAGUGGGGAAUAUUGGGCAAUGGGCGCAAGCCUGACCCAGCAACGCCGCGUGAAGGAAGAAGGCCUUCGGGUUGUAAACUUCUUUUGUCAGGGACGAAGCAAGUGACGGUACCUGACGAAUAAGCCACGGCUAACUACGUGCCAGCAGCCGCGGUAAUACGUAGGUGGCAAGCGUUAUCCGGAUUUACUGGGCGUAAAGGGCGUGUAGGCGGGGAGGUAAGUUAGAUGUGAAAACCACGGGCUCAACCUGUGGCCUGCAUUUGAGACUGUUUGACUUGAGUGCUAGAGGGGCAAUCGGAAUUCCGAGUGUAGCGGUGGAAUGCGUAGAUAUACGGAGGAACACCAGUGGCGAAGGCGGAUUGCUGGACAAUAACUGACGCUGAGGCGCGAAAGCGUGGGGAGCAAACAGGAUUAGAUACCCCAGUAGUC